Anolis carolinensis (green anole) is the source of this 3048-nucleotide long non-coding RNA. RefSeq lists it as uncharacterized. Lineage: Eukaryota; Metazoa; Chordata; Lepidosauria; Squamata; Anolidae. The transcript is spliced from 2 exons. The record is from RefSeq and is a predicted model, not a curated record.
CUCCGGGAGGGAGGGAGGGAGGGAGUGGCGCGCGCACGCCGAGCGCGCCCCCGCGCACACUCCCCAGGAGGAGGGGAAACUCCUUCCUUUCCUUUCCUCCAGCAAAAAGAGGAGAGAGGAAACUUUGGGCAUGUGGGGAGAGCUGGGGAAAAGAGGAGAAUGGGACGUGGAUAAUUAUACAGCCGUGGGAGAUCAUGAGGAAUUCCAGACACCAAACAAUCAGGGCCAGCUAACACCUCCCAACGAAAGAUUUCCCCCCAGGCAAGCUUUGAAGCUGCAAGGCCAUUCAAUGCUAAUCAAGCUGGCCAAUUGCAACAUAGAACCCUAAGAAAUAAUGACAUUGAUAAGGUAAAGGUAAAGGUUUUCCUCUGACGUUAUGUCCAGUCGUGACCGACUCUGCCGGCAUUGUCUGCAGACACCUCCAAGGUCAUGUGGCCGGCAUUGUCUGCAGACACCUCCAAGGUCAUGUGGCCGCCAGCAUGACUGCAUGGAGCGCCGUUACCUUCCCGCCAGAGCAGUACCUAUUUAUCUACUCACAUGUUUUUGAACUGCUAGGUUGGCAGGAGUGACAUUGAUAAACCUAGGAGCAAAAUAAUAAUAAUAAUAAUAAUAACUUUAUUUUUAUAACACGCCCCAUCUCCCCGAAGGGACUUGGGGCGGCUUACAUGGGGCCUUGCCCGACACAACAAUAUAAUAACAGCAACAAGACAAUAAAACAAGUAUCCCAACAAUAAAACAUCAGCAUCAAUAAAACAGUCGUAAAAAUCAACAUACUGCAUAAAAUGUUAAAAACAGGAGACUAAUACACGGAUCUGGGCCAAAGUGCAGAAUAUUUCAAAAUGGGGAGAGGUAGUUUCACAGCUAAAAUAGUCAAAGUGCAAUGUAAUAAUUGCAAAGCAUCAGCGAUGGAGCUAUUGUUGAAUGGGCAGAUAAAUCGAACCUACAACGAUUAAUCAUCGAAGGCCUUUUAGAAGAGCCAGGUUUUUAGGCUCUUCCAGAAGGAGAUGAUUGUGGGGGUCUGCCUGAUCUCUCUGAUACUGUAUUUAUGAAUUUAGCACCAAAAUAUCACGAUAUAUUGAAAACAUUGACUACAAAAAUGCCUUGGAUUAUCCAGAGGCUUGGAUAAGCGAGGCUUGGAUAAGUGAGACUCUACUAUAUAUCGUGAUAUUUUGGUGCUAAAUUCAUAAAUAUAGUAAUUACAACAUAACAUUACUGCGUAUUGAACUACUUUUUCUGUCAAAUUUGUUGUAUAACAUGAUGUUUUGGUGCUUAAUUUGUAAAAUCAUAAUCUAAUUUGAUGUUUAAUAGGCUUUUCCUUAAUCCCUCCUUAUUAUCCAAGAUAUUCGCUUAUCCAAGGUUCUGCCGGCUCAUCUAGCUUGGAUAAGUGAGACUCUACUGUAUAUUAUAAUAAUAUAUAAUAAUGCAAUACAAUUAAAAUAAUAUAAUUAUAGUAUAAUACAUUUAUAUACAUUAUAAAAUAAACAUCCAGUUUCUUCUUUCCUUCCCUCUUCCCUUCAGUUUCAUUUCCUUCUUCCAAUUGUAUUUCCUUCUAUCUUCCCUCAAGUUUAUUAUUUCCUUCUCUUUUCCCUUCAGUUUCACUUCCUUCUUCCUAUUGUAUUUCCUUCCCUCUUCCCUCAAGUUUAUUUAUUUAUUAUUUAUUUACAGUAUUUAUAUUCCACCAUUCUAACCCCUAAGGGGACUCAGGGCGGAUCACAUUGCACAUAUAAGGCAAACAUUCAAUGCCUUGACAUAGAACAAAGACAGAGACAAACGCAGGCUCCGAGCUGGCCUUGAACUCAUGACCUCUUGGUCAGAGUGAUUGGUCUCAGCUGGCUGUAGCUGGCUGCUUACCAGCUGCGCCACAGCUGGGCCAGUUUAUGUCCUUCUCUCUUCUCCUUUCCUUUUCCACCCCUCCAUUUUAUUACUUCCUUCUCCCUCCAGUUUUCCAAUCCCUCCCUUCCCAUUUUUCUGCCAAACUAGCAGUUCGAAAACAUGCAAAUGUGGGUAGAUCAAUAGGUACCGCUCCGGCGGGAAGGUAACGGCGCUCCAUGCAGUCAUGCCGGCCACAUGACCUUGGAGGUGUCUACGGACAACACCGGCUCUUUGGCUUAGAAAUGGAGAUGAGCACCAACCCCCAGAGUUGGACAUGACUAGACUUAAUGUCAGGGGAAAACCUUUACCCUCCAUUUUAUUAAUUUUUUUAUUUAUUUACUUACAGUAUUUAUACUCCGUCCUUCUCAUGCCGAAGGGGACUCAGAGCGGCUCAAAUUGCACACAUAUGGCAAACAUUCAGUGCUGAUUAUACAGUUAUCAAGGACAGACAACACAGACGAAGCCAUGCACCAGAGCUCCAGCAGAUGUCUUAACUACUCUAAGUGAGAACAGAAAUUGGAGACAUUACUCUGUUUGGAUUGCAGCUCCCAGCACACUCCAGCCAGCAUGGUCAGUGGUCAUCCUGACUAAAGGGUUCCAGCUCAACAAAGGAACUUUUCCAUGUUCUGCCCUGUAUAUAGAAAGAAAAAAGGGAAGGAGAGGGAAAAAGUGGCAACACCUGUUAGAUGAACUUGUUAUUAUUUUAGCAUGAGCAAAGUAAACACCUCAGCAAGUGAGAGUCCAAAAGUGGCAGGCUAAAACCCGGAACCCAUGGCUGAUACCAAAUGAGAGACUCCCUCCUAGGCACACAGAAAAAUGGGUGACUUGGAAGACACUGAACAGACUGCACCACGAGACGCAGAGCCAACCUUAAGAAAUUGGGCAACAAAGUAGAGUCCACAACAUGAGAGUAUGGAGAAGAGCAAACCACAGACGACCUGUUACAAUGCAGUCUGAGCCCAGCUACAUGCAUCAUGGAGGACCUUCUUACAGCAACACCAGAGUCACUCCAAGUGGCCAGCUACUGGUCAAAGGACAUUCAGCAUAAUGCCAUGUUUUUAACACAUUACAAUGUACCCUCGUUUCGCUUAUGACACAAUAAAUAAAAUAAGCAUGAACUUUCAAGUGUGCUUGUAUCCAUGAAAGCUCAUAAUAAAACAACUAGUUACUGUUAAA